CUUUCUCCGAAUUUUUGUGCUGUUUCCUGGGCACAAACCCGUGAGAGCCAUCAAAGAGGAGUUUCACAGGAUUGCAGGAUUUCCGAAUGUGGUUGGAUGCAUUGAUGGCACACAUAUUCCCAUCAUUGCACCUUCCGAAAAUGAAGCGGACUAUGUCAACAGGAGGUCCAUCCACAGUAUUAAUGUGCAGAUCAUAUGUGAUGCUGCACAUCUCAUUACAAAUGUGGAGCCCAAGUGGCCCGGUUCUGUUC
Non-coding RNA from Gasterosteus aculeatus aculeatus (three-spined stickleback), 251 nucleotides. The record is from RefSeq and is a predicted model, not a curated record. Lineage: Eukaryota; Metazoa; Chordata; Actinopteri; Perciformes; Gasterosteidae.